UACGUAGGGUGCAAGCGUUGUCCGGAAUUAUUGGGCGUAAAGAGCUCGUAGGCGGUUUGUCGCGUCGAAUGUGAAAACCCGGGGCUCAACCCCGGGCCUGCAUUCGAUACGGGCAGACUAGAGUUCGGUAGGGGAGACGUGGAAUUCCUGGUGUAGCGGUGAAAUGCGCAGAUAUCAGGAGGAACACCGGUGGCGAAGGCGGGUCUCUGGGCUGAUAUUGACGCUGAGGAGCGAAAGCGUGGGAGCGAACAGG
Molecule: ribosomal RNA, 253 nt
Filed under: uncultured bacterium
Lineage: Bacteria
Description: partial 16S ribosomal RNA
Rfam family: Bacterial small subunit ribosomal RNA
Source: RNAcentral